ACGAACGCUGGCGGCGUGCUUAACCCAUGCAAGUCGAACGGAAAGGCCCUGCUUUUGUGGGGUGCUCGAGUUGCGAACGGGUGAGUAACACGUGAGUAACCUGCCCUUGACUUUGGGAUAACUUCAGGAAACUGGGGCUAAUACCGGAUAGGAGCUCCUGCUGCAUGGUGGGGGUUGGAAAGUUUCGGCGGUUGGGGAUGGACUCGCGGCUUAUCAGCUUGUUGGUGGGGUAGUGGCUUACCAAGGCUUUGACGGGUAGCCGGCCUGAGAGGGUGACCGGCCACAUUGGGACUGAGAUACGGCCCAGACUCCUACGGGAGGCAGCAGUGGGGAAUAUUGCACAAUGGGCGGAAGCCUGAUGCAGCAACGCCGCGUGCGGGAUGACGGCCUUCGGGUUGUAAACCGCUUUCGCCUGUGACGAAGCGUGAGUGACGGUAAUGGGUAAAGAAGCACCGGCUAACUACGUG
This 467-nucleotide ribosomal RNA is filed under the name uncultured bacterium. RNAcentral's name for it is "partial 16S ribosomal RNA". It matches the Rfam family "Bacterial small subunit ribosomal RNA", at positions 29 to 507 of the family's 1533-position model. The record is from RNAcentral.